UACGGAGGGUGCGAGCGUUGUCCGGAAUCACUGGGCGUAAAGGGCGCGUAGGUGGCGCGGCAAGUCAACGGUGAAAGCUCGACGCUCAACGUCGAGUCGGCCGUCGAUACUGCUGGGCUUGAGCACUGUAGAGGCAGAUGGAAUUCCGGGUGUAGCGGUGGAAUGCGUAGAGAUCCGGAAGAACACCGGUGGCGAAGGCGGUCUGCUGGGCAGUAGCUGACACUGAUGCGCGACAGCAUGGGGAGCAAACAGG
RNAcentral lists this ribosomal RNA (253 nucleotides) under uncultured bacterium. RNAcentral describes it as "partial 16S ribosomal RNA". It matches the Rfam family "Bacterial small subunit ribosomal RNA", at positions 524 to 776 of the family's 1533-position model. The record is from RNAcentral.